UGCCUGGUGGCCAUAGCGAGUGGGUCCCACCCCUUCCCAUCCCGAACAGGACCGUGAAACCACUUAGCGCCGAUGAUAGUACGGAUACCCGUGCGAAAGUAGGACACCGCCAGGCUC
RNAcentral lists this ribosomal RNA (117 nucleotides) under Laribacter hongkongensis. Lineage: Bacteria; Pseudomonadati; Pseudomonadota; Betaproteobacteria; Neisseriales; Aquaspirillaceae. The record is from RNAcentral.